Molecule: long non-coding RNA, 585 nt
Organism: Helianthus annuus (common sunflower)
Lineage: Eukaryota; Viridiplantae; Streptophyta; Magnoliopsida; Asterales; Asteraceae
Exons: 3
Source: RefSeq, a predicted model, not a curated record
CCCUCUUUUCACAAACCCUAGCAGCCCACUAACAUUUACCCACCAGUUCUCAUUACUUUCCCACCGGUGACAACUACCCACCAGCCUGCAGUCACUCUUCAAUGCUUCAAAUAAAGUUUGCUUUCAUUGCAGUAUUCGGAUCAUGUACUCUGCCAUACACGACAUCGAUGACGAACCAAACGUUAAAGAUGGGGAACGGAUGCUUCUGCUUUGUGUAUAUUUACCGGUGAUAAUAGGUGUUACAAGUGGAGUAGGCUACUUUCAUAAUUACCAGAAUAAACAGCGCCAACAAUUCCCAUACCGUGCGGAGACAUCGUCAUGCAGUAACACCGCCUACAAAAACGAUUGUGGAAUUUUUGCGAGCCAUGGAGGAGGAUUGGCUCCAUUUGCGUCGUUUGUUCUAUUCCCAUUUUCCCCCUCCUCCAUCGCCAUCAGUGUAGGGCUAUUUAGUACAGCACGGGUGGACUUUGGUGAGAAGACGGCGAUUGCUCUGACUGCACAGCCUUUUGGAGACUGCAUUCUGAUCCUGACUUUUGUUGUUAUGUAUAUGGGAUGUAUUGACACUGAUUUGAUAUAUUUUUGGAC